RNAcentral lists this ribosomal RNA (247 nucleotides) under uncultured bacterium. Its description in RNAcentral is "partial 16S ribosomal RNA". It matches the Rfam family "Bacterial small subunit ribosomal RNA", at positions 523 to 769 of the family's 1533-position model. The record is from RNAcentral.
AUACGAAGGGUGCAAGCGUUAAUCGGAAUUACUGGGCGUAAAGCGCGCGUAGGUGGUUUGUUAAGUUGAAUGUGAAAGCCCCGGGCUCAACCUGGGAACUGCAUCCAAAACUGGCAAGCUAGAGUAUGGCAGAGGGUGGUGGAAUUUCCUGUGUAGCGGUGAAAUGCGUAGAUAUAGGAAGGAACACCAGUGGCGAAGGCGACCACCUGGGCUAAUACUGACACUGAGGUGCGAAAGCGUGGGGAGC